UACGUAGGGCGCAAGCGUUAUCCGGAAUUAUUGGGCGUAAAGAGCUCGUAGGCGGUUUGUCGCGUCUGCUGUGAAAGCCCGGGGCUCAACCCCGGGUCUGCAGUGGGUACGGGCAGACUAGAGUGAUGUAGGGGAGGCUGGAAUUCCUGGUGUAGCGGUGAAAUGCGCAGAUAUCAGGAGGAACACCGAUGGCGAAGGCAGGUCUCUGGGCAUUAACUGACGCUGAGGAGCGAAAGCAUGGGGAGCGAACAGG
Molecule: ribosomal RNA, 253 nt
Filed under: uncultured bacterium
Lineage: Bacteria
Description: partial 16S ribosomal RNA
Rfam family: Bacterial small subunit ribosomal RNA
Source: RNAcentral